Molecule: ribosomal RNA, 621 nt
Filed under: uncultured marine eukaryote
Lineage: Eukaryota
Description: SSU rRNA
Rfam family: Eukaryotic small subunit ribosomal RNA
Source: RNAcentral
CGGUCAAAAGCUCGUAGUUGGAUUUCUGUUGAGGAUGACCGGUCCGCUCUUUGAGCGCGUAUCUGGUUCAGCCUUGGCAUCCUCUUGGGGAACGCUACUGUGCUUGAUUGCAUGGGGCGGUAUUCAAGACUUUUACUUUGAGGAAAUUAGAGUGUUCACUGCAAGCGUUAGCAAUUGAAUACAUUAGCAUGGAAUAAUAAUAUAGGACCUUGGUACUAUUUUGUUGGUUUCUAGAACCAAGGUAAUGAUUAAUAGGGACAAUUGGGGGCAUUCGUAUUAACGCGUCAGAGGUGGAAUUCUUAGAUUGCGUUACGACGAACUACUGCGAAAGCAUUUGCCAAGGAUGUUUUCAUUGAUCAAGAACGAAAGUAUGGGGAUCGAAGACGCUUAGAUACCGUCGUAGUCUAUACCAUAAACUAUGCCAACUAGAGAUCGGAGGUCGUUCUCUUUAUGACUCCUUCAGCACCUUAUGAGAAAUCAAAGUCUUUGGGUUCCGGGGGGAGUAUGGUCGCAAGGCUGAAACUUAAAGGAAUUGACGGAAGGGCACCACCAGGAGUGGAGCCUGCGGCUUAAUUUGACUCAACACGGGAAAACUUACCAGGUCCAGACAUAGUAAGGAUU